GCGUUGGUAGUGCAACUGGUGAGAGCACGCGCUCCCCUGAUAGAGUAAGCUGCGGAUUUGAGUCCCGCCUAACGCG
Parelaphostrongylus tenuis is the source of this 76-nucleotide non-coding RNA. Lineage: Eukaryota; Metazoa; Nematoda; Chromadorea; Rhabditida; Metastrongylidae. The record is from the annotation of a GenBank genome assembly.